This is a long non-coding RNA of Mastomys coucha (southern multimammate mouse), 631 nucleotides long. RefSeq lists it as uncharacterized. Lineage: Eukaryota; Metazoa; Chordata; Mammalia; Rodentia; Muridae. The transcript has 3 exons. The record is from RefSeq and is a predicted model, not a curated record.
AAAACAACCAGGGCUGCUACCUUGGUUCACAGUCACAGCCUCGAACAGCUAGCUACCCUUUCUUCUGAGAGAGAACUGGAACCUUAGCACUGUCCAAGAUGCUCUAAGGAUGCUUGAGAACACCAGUGCCACCACACUGUGCAGUUGCCUGAGAAGAGUUUUCAUCUCGUGAUGGAGUGUGGAAGAAAUGACCUGUGCAAAGUUUCUUAGACCUCCACCAAGUGACUGCGUCUUCUAAUCUUCCAGCUCUCCCAAAGCCAUCUACCAAAGAGCUGCUCCAGUUACCACUGCACUGAGAGAUGAGCUGGACUCACUCAAGCAUGCCUAGGUUCUCACAGCUCUCUGAGGGGACCCACAAGUGGCCAUCCUCUGGUUCAAGAUCUUCAAUGAUCCCUCGUUGGCAGAUGCUCUGAAACUUUCUAGGUGAAUUUACUCAGCUAACUCUGGAAAGUAAAAGUGAAACAGGUCGUUAAAGGUGAUGGCUGAGUGGGAAAGAUUGCAUACAUUUUCCGGAUGACAUCACUGAACCUGGGGGAGACAGGAAGUCAUCCAGCCGAGACAUGCGCUUCAGUCCUCAGACUCCAAGUCCACUACUCUUCCUAUUGAGCCAAAUGGCAGACUCUUAAUCUGA